This 459-nucleotide ribosomal RNA is filed under the name uncultured Comamonas sp. RNAcentral describes it as "bacterial SSU rRNA". It matches the Rfam family "Bacterial small subunit ribosomal RNA", at positions 919 to 1382 of the family's 1533-position model. Lineage: Bacteria; Pseudomonadati; Pseudomonadota; Betaproteobacteria; Burkholderiales; Comamonadaceae. The record is from RNAcentral.
ACCCGCACAAGCGGUGGAUGAUGUGGUUUAAUUCGAUGCAACGCGAAAACCUUACCCACCUUUGGCAUGUACGGAAUCCUUUAGAGAUAGAGGAGUGCUCGAAAGAGAGCCGUAACACAGGUGCUGCAUGGCUGUCGUCAGCUCGUGUCGUGAGAUGUUGGGUUAAGUCCCGCAACGAGCGCAACCCUUGUCAUUAGUUGCUACGAAAGGGCACUCUAAUGAGACUGCCGGUGACAAACCGGAGGAAGGUGGGGAUGACGUCAAGUCCUCAUGGCCCUUAUAGGUGGGGCUACACACGUCAUACAAUGGCUGGUACAAAGGGUUGCCAACCCGCGAGGGGGAGCCAAUCCCAUAAAGCCAGUCGUAGUCCGGAUCGCAGUCUGCAACUCGACUGCGUGAAGUCGGAAUCGCUAGUAAUCGUGGAUCAGCAUGUCACGGUCGAAUACGUUCCCGGGCCUU